Molecule: ribosomal RNA, 1498 nt
Filed under: Faecalicoccus pleomorphus
Lineage: Bacteria; Bacillati; Bacillota; Erysipelotrichia; Erysipelotrichales; Erysipelotrichaceae
Also listed under: 1 other name
Description: bacterial SSU rRNA
Rfam family: Bacterial small subunit ribosomal RNA
Source: RNAcentral
UUAGUUUGAAUCCUGGCUCAGGAUGAACGCUGGCGGCAUGCCUAAUACAUGCAAGUCGAACGGACGGAAGAGAAAAGCUUGCUUUUUUUGGAAGUCAGUGGCGAACGGGUGAGUAACACGUAGGUAACCUGCCCAUGUGCCCGGGAUAAUUUCUGGAAACGGAAACUAAAACCGGAUAGGUAGGGAUCUCGCAUGAGGACCUUAUUAAAGGGGCUACGGCCCUGAACAUGGAUGGACCUGCGGUGCAUUAGCUGGUUGGUGGGGUAACGGCCUACCAAGGCGAACGAUGCAUAGCCGACCUGAGAGGGCGAACGGCCACAUUGGGACUGAGACACGGCCCAAACUCCUACGGGAGGCAGCAGUAGGGAAUUUUCGUCAAUGGGGGGAACCCUGAACGAGCAAUGCCGCGUGAGUGAAGACGGUUUUCGGACUGUAAAGCUCUGUUGUAAGAGAAAAACGGCCGACAUAGGGAAUGAUGUCGGAGUGAUGGUAUCUUACCAGAAAGUCACGGCUAACUACGUGCCAGCAGCCGCGGUAAUACGUAGGUGGCGAGCGUUAUCCGGAAUGAUUGGGCGUAAAGGGUGCGUAGGCGGUACGGUAAGUCUGUAGUAAAAGGCGGCAGCUCAACUGUCGUAGGCUAUGGAAACUGUCGAACUAGAGUGCAGAAGAGGGCGAUGGAACUCCAUGUGUAGCGGUAAAAUGCGUAGAUAUAUGGAAGAACACCAGUGGCGAAGGCGGUCGCCUGGUCUGUAACUGACGCUGAAGCACGAAAGCGUGGGGAGCAAAUAGGAUUAGAUACCCUAGUAGUCCACGCCGUAAACGAUGAGAACUAAGUGUUGGGGGAAUAACUCAGUGCUGCAGUUAACGCAAUAAGUUCUCCGCCUGGGGAGUAUGCACGCAAGUGUGAAACUCAAAGGAAUUGACGGGGGCCCGCACAAGCGGUGGAGUAUGUGGUUUAAUUCGAAGCAACGCGAAGAACCUUACCAGGCCUUGACAUCCCCGGCGAAGACAUGGAGACAUGUCGGAGGUUAACCGGGAGACAGGUGGUGCAUGGUUGUCGUCAGCUCGUGUCGUGAGAUGUUGGGUUAAGUCCCGCAACGAGCGCAACCCUUGUGAUAUGUUACUAACAGUAAGAUGAGGACUCAUAUCAGACUGCCGGUGACAAACCGGAGGAAGGUGGGGAUGACGUCAAAUCAUCAUGCCCCUUAUGGCCUGGGCUACACACGUACUACAAUGGCGGCUACAAAGAGCGGCGAACCCGCGAGGGGGAGCGAAUCUCAUAAAGGUCGUCUCAGUUCGGAUUGAAGUCUGCAACCCGACUUCAUGAAGUUGGAAUCGCUAGUAAUCGCGAAUCAGCAUGUCGCGGUGAAUACGUUCUCGGGCCUUGUACACACCGCCCGUCAAACCAUGGGAGUUGGUAAUACCCGAAGCCGGUGGCAUAACCGCAAGGAGUGAACCGUCGAAGGUAGGAUCGAUGACUGGGACGAAGUCGUAACAA